This is a non-coding RNA of Epinephelus lanceolatus (giant grouper), 411 nucleotides long. NCBI's taxonomy places the organism in Eukaryota, Metazoa, Chordata, Actinopteri, Perciformes, Serranidae. The record is from RefSeq and is a predicted model, not a curated record.
UGCGGAUAUACUGGAGCUGUCACAGUUCAAAACAAGGAGUCCAUUGUUCGGGCCAUAAUACUCCAUGCAGUGCUGAGGUUGCAGCCUAUGUUGGAACAACUAAUGGAAGGCCUGCAGCUGUAUGACCUUCUUUUGCUCAUCAGGCAGUACCCAGAUAUCUGCCAACCCCUGUUUGUUCCUGGAGAAGAUGUCAAGGUCAAUGCAGAGUUUGUCAUGGCAUCCAUUCUCCCUCAACUGAGUGACAAAGGGACUACCAGGCAUCAGGUUGAGCUGGAGAUGAUUAACUUUGUACAGGACUUCCUUUAUUAAGUUGAAGGUAUAUAGAUUUUUAUCUCCUGCAAAUCUGAACUCAAAAACUGUCACAUUUGAGUGUUUGGUGACAAAACAUUGAAAUUUGUGACCGCUUGUAGU